AACGAACGCUGGCGGCAUGCCUAACACAUGCCAGUCGAACGAUUGCCUUCGGGUGAUAGUGGCGCACGGGUGCGUAACGCGUGGGAAUCUGCCCUUAGGUUCGGAAUAACAGCUGGAAACGGCUGCUAAUACCGGAUGAUAUCGCGAGAUCAAAGAUUUACCGCCUGGGGAUGGGCCCGCGUUGGAUUAGGUGGUUGGUGGGGUAAAGGCCUACCAAGCGGACGAUCCAUAGCUGGUCUGAGAGGAUGAUCAGCCACACUGGGACUGAGACACGGCCCAGACUCCUACGGGAGGCAGCAGUGGGGAAUAUUGGACGAUGGGCGCAAGCCUGAUCCAGCAAUGCCGCGUGAGUGAUGAAGGCCCUAGGGUUGUAAAGCUCUUUUACCCGGGAAGAUAAUGACGGUACCGGGAGAAUAAGCCCCGGCUAACUCCGUG
Molecule: ribosomal RNA, 435 nt
Filed under: uncultured bacterium
Lineage: Bacteria
Description: partial 16S ribosomal RNA
Rfam family: Bacterial small subunit ribosomal RNA
Source: RNAcentral